This 463-nucleotide ribosomal RNA is filed under the name Theileria sinensis. RNAcentral's name for it is "SSU rRNA". It matches the Rfam family "Eukaryotic small subunit ribosomal RNA", at positions 528 to 1030 of the family's 1831-position model. The record is from RNAcentral. Lineage: Eukaryota; Apicomplexa; Aconoidasida; Piroplasmida; Theileriidae.
AUACUUUUUUAGAGUAUCAUUGGAGGGCAGUCUGGUGCCAGCAGCCGCGGUAAUUCCAGCUCCAAUAGCGUAUAUUAAAAUUGUUGCAGUUAAAAAGCUCGUAGUUGAAUUUCUGCUGCAUCGUCGCAUCUCUUGCUGAGUGCUUCGUUUCGGCUUAUUUCGGAUUGAUUUUUUCUUUCCGGAUGAUUACUUUGAGAAAAUUAGAGUGCUCAAAGCAGGCUUUUGCCUUGAAUAGUUUAGCAUGGAAUAAUAAAGUAGGACUUUGGUUCUAUUUUGUUGGUUUUAGGUACCAAAGUAAUGGUUAAUAGGAACAGUUGGGGGCAUUCGUAUUUAACUGUCAGAGGUGAAAUUCUUAGAUUUGUUAAAGACGAACUACUGCGAAAGCAUUUGCCAAGGAUGUUUUCAUUAAUCAAGAACGAAAGUUAGGGGAUCGAAGACGAUCAGAUACCGUCGUAGUCCUACC